RNAcentral lists this ribosomal RNA (467 nucleotides) under uncultured bacterium. RNAcentral's name for it is "partial 16S ribosomal RNA". It matches the Rfam family "Bacterial small subunit ribosomal RNA", at positions 28 to 506 of the family's 1533-position model. The record is from RNAcentral.
GACGAACGCUGGCGGCGUGCCUAACACAUGCAAGUCGAACGGAAAGGCCCUGCUUUUGUGGGGUGCUCGAGUGGCGAACGGGUGAGUAACACGUGAGUAACCUGCCCUUGACUUUGGGAUAACUUCAGGAAACUGGGGCUAAUACCGGAUAGGAGCUCCUGCUGCAUGGUGGGGGUUGGAAAGUUUCGGCGGUUGGGGAUGGACUCGCGGCUUAUCAGCUUGUUGGUGGGGUAGUGGCUUACCAAGGCUUUGACGGGUAGCCGGCCUGGGAGGGUGACCGGCCACAUUGGGACUGGGAUACGGCCCAGACUCCUACGGGAGGCAGCAGUGGGGAAUAUUGCACAAUGGGCGGAAGCCGGAUGCAGCAACGCCGCGUGCGGGAUGACGGCCUUCGGGUUGUAAACCGCUUUCGCCUGUGACGAAGCGUGAGUGACGGUAAUGGGUAAAGAAGCACCGGCUAACUACUU